AACGAACGCUGGCGGCGUGGAUAAGACAUGCAAGUCGAGCGAGAUUUUUUCUUGUAGCAAUACGAGGAAAAGUCUAGCGGCGAACGGGUGCUUAACACGUGGGCAACCUGCCAAGAAGUGGGGGAUAGCUCGCCGAAAGGCGAAUUAAUACCGCAUGUGAUCAGAGUGGACAUCCAUUCAAAAUUAAAGUCGGGGCAACCUGACGCUUCUUGAGGGGCCCGCGGCCUAUCAGCUAGUUGGUGAGGUAACGGCCCACCAAGGCUUCGACGGGUAGCUGGUCUGAGAGGACGACCAGCCACACUGGGACUGAGACACGGCCCAGACACCUACGGGUGGCAGCAGUCGAGAACUUUUCUCAAUGGGGGAAACCCUGAAGGAGCGACGCCGCGUGGAGGAUGAAGGUCUUCGGAUUGUAAACUCCUGUCAUUGGGGAACAAUGCGUAAAUAUUAACUGUAUUUGCGUUGAUAGUACCCGAAGAGGAAGAGACGGCUAACUCUGUGCCAGCCGCCGCCGUAA
Molecule: ribosomal RNA, 517 nt
Filed under: uncultured bacterium
Lineage: Bacteria
Description: partial 16S ribosomal RNA
Rfam family: Bacterial small subunit ribosomal RNA
Source: RNAcentral